RNAcentral lists this long non-coding RNA (288 nucleotides) under Ananas comosus (pineapple). RNAcentral's name for it is "long non-coding RNA (ACOM_LNC017099)". The record is from RNAcentral. Lineage: Eukaryota; Viridiplantae; Streptophyta; Magnoliopsida; Poales; Bromeliaceae.
AAUCUGCAAUUAUUAUAUUUUAUUUCAGUUUGGUCUUAACUAUUUAAAUUUUUAUUAAUUUUGAAAGAAUAAACUAUGUCAAUUCCAAUAGAGCCUAUCUGCUCAUAUAAAUCACGGUCACGAUCCAUUAAUUUGCCAUCGAUCAAUCAUGACACUGAUUUUUCAAAGUUUAUGUAAAAGACUAGUAUUAUAUCUGACUCAACGUCAGAAAUGUCAAAUGCUCCAAAUAAAUUGAUAUGUAUUACUGUGCGGGGAUAAGAUAGUGGUGUGCGUGGAGGAUAAAAUUAA